Molecule: long non-coding RNA, 216 nt
Filed under: Lathyrus oleraceus (garden pea)
Lineage: Eukaryota; Viridiplantae; Streptophyta; Magnoliopsida; Fabales; Fabaceae
Description: Pisum sativum (pea) long non-coding RNA (PSAT_LNC035901)
Source: RNAcentral
UUAAUUAUUUUAUUUCUUUUUAUUCGAGUAGAAGAAUUAUAUCAUCUUUUCCCGUCUACUUCAUUCUUUUAUUCUUCAAUUUUGCGUUUUAAUUUCAUUUAACUAUAUCAUGUUUAUUAUUCCUACCUAUAUAUUAUGUUGGUUCUCUUCUAACUAGUUAUUAAACCAUUAUUCCAUGCCGGUAAACUAAAAUUCAAAUGAAAAUUAUGGUCAAAG